This 1392-nucleotide long non-coding RNA is filed under the name Bemisia tabaci. RNAcentral's name for it is "lncRNA ENSSSA3NGG012652". Lineage: Eukaryota; Metazoa; Arthropoda; Insecta; Hemiptera; Aleyrodidae. The record is from RNAcentral.
CCUCUUUUUGUCCGUGUACUUUUCUAAUUGGCAUUUAACUCGGCAAUUCACGAAUUUCUCCCAACGGCCAACGGAAAUUAUUGAGUGACAGAUUGCAAAUUCACACCCACCCUCCUAUUUUUUUUUUUUUUUUUUUUUUUUUAAGUAUAUUAAUUUUGACACUAUUUUCAGGGACCUCACCACCUCCCAUGUCGAACAGAGAACUAUCAACGACGAAAACAAUGGAGUACAUGGGUUUGACCCCAGUUCCUCCCCAAAGAAACCUGAACCUGCCUCCCGGCAGCCAAUCCAAUAUUGACAUUGACUUAGAGGAGGCGUCAGAAAACUGCCGGCAAAACUGUCUUAAACAGUACGGCUACAUAUCCGCUCCGAAGCAAUACAACCUGGGCGUUCGGAAAUCGUCCCGAUCACCGAUGGCAGGGCGGUUCUCGUUAAUGGGAUUGUGAGCGAGAUCUGCGACUGCGCACUCUCCACGGAAGUUAAAACGCUCUUGGCGAUCGUCCGUCUUGACGUCGAUGAAUUCGACAAACUGCGUCAGAAGCAAAGCAAGACUAAGCUGAAAUGUUUCAUCCGGUCCAAGGGUCUGCACUACCUCAGUUACUCGGAAGUCCGUGAGAAACUGAAGAAAAGUCUGAAGAAGAAUAGUGUGGCGCUGGAUGUUAGCACGGCGUCGAGAAGACACCGGGACUCGCCUUGUUAGGUCGACUUCCUAGCGUACAUAGAAAAUCGUAAAUUCUCAAUUUGUUCAGAUUUUAGCCGUUUAAAUAAAAAUGAGACACAUACAUUCUUUUUUCCGCCUUGAAAUGUACGUAAUAUACCCACUUGUUACAAGAAAAAUUCAAGCCUUCGUGUAUGGUGCGCCCCACCGGGAAAACUGUUUUUCUGGCGCCAAAACGAUCAAAAUAGCUAAUUCGGCAACGCUUUACUCGCACGCAAUCAAGAUUCUCGGACAAAUCACUAAUUUUUGGUUCCAAUAUUUCAAGAAGCAUGCCCUAUUGUAUCGUUAGAAAAAGUUUCAAGUUGAUCGAAUCCUUGCGCCCUAUACGUAAAGUACCGGUUUUUGGCGCCAAAACGGUCAAAACAGCCAUCUCAUGAGCCACUGCGUUUCGAGCUCAUAGAGUACGUAGAAUCAUAGCGUGAACGGGAGCGCUGGCGCCAUGUUCUGGUCAACGAGUUCCGAGCCCGGUGUGCGCCGAGUUCGGGUCACUUUUUCGAUACAUUUUCGAUCCAAAAUGGCGUUGUAGAAUACGUAGUAAUUCCUGUCCUCUUUGUUUACAUCGGUUUGCCGGGUCCCCAUGGAUCGGAAACAAUCGAUAAUAUAUCGAAAAAGUGACCCGGCCUGACACAGGAGUCUCGGAAUUCGAGACCUGGAAAAUGCUUAAAAUUUGUGCC